Molecule: ribosomal RNA, 253 nt
Filed under: uncultured bacterium
Lineage: Bacteria
Description: partial 16S ribosomal RNA
Rfam family: Bacterial small subunit ribosomal RNA
Source: RNAcentral
UACGGAGGGUGCGAGCGUUGUCCGGAAUCACUGGGCGUAAAGGGCGCGUAGGCGGCUCGCUAAGUCGGAUGUGAAAACUCUGGGCUCAACCCAGAGCCUGCAUUCGAAACUGACGAGCUCGAGUUCUGGAGGGGAAAGCGGAAUUCCUGGUGUAGCGGUGAAAUGCGUAGAUAUCAGGAGGAACACCGGUGGCGAAGGCGGCUUUCUGGACAGAAACUGACGCUGAUGCGCGAAAGCUAGGGGAGCAAACAGG